RNAcentral lists this long non-coding RNA (6658 nucleotides) under Brassica napus (rape). RNAcentral describes it as "long non-coding RNA (BNAP_LNC014265)". Lineage: Eukaryota; Viridiplantae; Streptophyta; Magnoliopsida; Brassicales; Brassicaceae. The record is from RNAcentral.
AGGGAGAGAACGAGAGACACUCGGAGACGGAGUGGCGGCGCGUGACAGCAAUAAAUAACUCUGUGAUUUACCGGGAGCGCAAGGGACGAUUCUGCUCAAGAGAAUGCGCGUGAAUCGACGGAGAAUCAAUACCCUACGGUUCACUAGGUUCCUGAGAUUGUUGGUUCGAGCGAUCUUGACGCAGGAUUGAGCCAUUUCGAUUGAUUAAGAGAAGAAGGGAAAAUAUAAAGUAGAAGGAAGAAGAAGAAGAUGCAGAAUCAGGAAGAUCUGGUGAUGGCCAGAGAGAAGCUGAUUGAUUCCAUUUUGGCCAUGAAAGAAAAAGGAAAGAAAGGAGAGAGAGGUAAUAUACGGAAAGCUUUCUAGGUUUCUGUGUUUCCUCCUCUUUUUCGGAGGGGACGACACUUCAAAGCUUUUUUUCAAAAUAUUAUUUGUUAUUUUUUAUUGAUUUUUUUGACACAUGUGUGGGGGGGCAACGAGAUGAGAGAGAGGUGGAGAUUUCUUGGAUGUGACGACCACAAAUCACAUUACACAUUUUCGGGCCUACGUUGACCUUUAAUUUUAAUUAGUCAUAUGCAUUCUAAUCUAAAUUACAGAUCUAUAGUAUAUCUUAACUUAUAAGAUAUUGAUAGAUAUAUUAAUAAUAUCAUAUUAUGUAUGUACAUAGAGAUAGAGAUAUCCGUACAUAAUAUGUAUUUGGAAAAUGUAAUUUGAUAUGGUUAUUAAUCACCCUAUAACAUAUACAUUAUGCAUUAGCGCCAGAAUUGAUUAAGUAUACCAAGUAGCUUAUUAAUUAAAUUUGAAGCCGGGACGGCUACGAGUUCAUGUAAUAAACUGUGCCAAACAUUUGGUCACUUUCUAAUUGAUAUGUAAGACCACAUAUAAAUAUAAUUUUGAAUAUAGAACGUACGUAUAAUUUAAUAAAUAUGUGAGAUUGAUGAAUUCUAUUGGCCCUCAACUUUCUAAUUAUAUUAGAAAUUGGAUCGUUGACGGUAAUAAUUUCACACAUAUAAUCUUAUCAUAUCUACAUUAAACGAAAUUUAAGUUGUGGUUACCAUCCAUAUAGUCUGCCAUAAGGUCUACGCAUAGUCCUUAUAUAUAAACAUACAUAUAUACACACACACAUAUAUAUAUAAGUUAACCUAGAUAUAACUCUCUCAAAACUUUUUAGACAUAUAAAUAAUCGCGUGUAUUUAAAAAAAGCUUUCGUAAGUUUUAUGAGAUAGUAAGUUACAAAAAAAAAGUUUUAUGAGAUAGUAGCUCUUAGAUAUGUUUACAAACAUAUACGUUGUGUACUUCACAAAUAUCCCACCAAUAUGCACUUAUACAAACGUAAACUACAUAUUUUAUUAAGCACAUACAUAUUAAGAUGUACACACAUCAAGCGAAUAUAUGCAAGAUGGGGUACAUACAUAAACACCACCAAAUUUACAAGGGUUUACUAGAAUUGCUCAUCAUUCAGAAGCGGCCAUUGAAAUUACCCAACAUGGAAAUAGGGACGACGCAUAAUCCUCUAGUCCUCAAGUCCAUAUUAUUACUGUUACUGUUGUUUCCUUCUCUGAGAUUCCUCAUCAUCGUCAGCUUUUGUUCAUCUCCUUCUUGGAUUUGGAUUUGAUGAUCCCCCAUGCCUCUCAUAUUUCCCUAUCAAUACCGUAUCGCAAACAUCUUUACGUGUUACAUCCAUCGAAUAUAAUGUAAAGAUUAUUAAUACGAAAAGAUCAUAUACCUUCCUUAUAACUAGACAAACAAAGCUUAUCUAAUAAUACAGGACCAAGUCUGUCUUAAUAAACUAAUAUUAUGCAAAAUGAAUCUUCUCUAUCUUUUCCGUUUGGGUUAUAAAUGAAAUUAAAUUCAAGUUGAUAUAUAGGUGGACACAUAAAUUUAUAUGUAUGAAAGAAAGCAUAGAGAUUACCAUAACGAAACUAGAAGAGACAUAGUCCUCAUGUUUUCUAGGAGGCGUCUGAAUAUGUUCAAUCUGACUGACCUGUUCAAUAUUAUUUAUAUAAAAUUAUACAUUUGCUAUAACUACUACAAAGGGAGAUUCUACAAGAGGAGAAUAAUAAUAAAAGGAUAAAGUAAUUAUUGGAGGUAACUGACUCAUAAUCAAUCAUAUUUUACAAUUAAAUUAAAAUUAUAAUUUUUUCUAUAGAUUUGCACCAAAAAAGAAAAGCAAAAGAAAAAUUUUGGAUUAAAAUUUCAAUCAUGGAUCAUGUUUUAAUUGGAUUACGUUAAGUAGUAUCUAACCUUAGGGCUAUUAACCGGAGAGCUAGCUGUAUCCUCCAAAGAAUCAUCCUCACAAAUCUUUUUGGUUCUUGCCUUCCCAAACUUCAAUUUCACCGGAAAAUUAACUGGAAAACUCCGGCCAGAAAAUGCGUCAGUGGCGGCGUCGGAGACCAGAGAAGGAGAGGCGUCCAGAAUCGAACACGAACUCUUAUCUUGAUGAUCGUUAUCUUCAGGAUGAGUUCUGUAUUGAUUUGAGAAAUCUUCAAGAUAAGUUGUCCAUCCACUCUCCUCUUGCUGAACACCAUCAUGAUGAUCAUGAUCAGGAUCAUCAAUAUCAGUAUCAUUAUCGUGACGGUCGAAAGGAGCGUGAUUUUGUUCAUAAGAAUUACAAGAGAAUGUAUCCAUCAUGUGGAGAAAGGAGGAAUAAACCAAAAUAAAAUGGAAUAAUUCGUAAGUGGUUGCGUUUGGUAUGUAUAUAUAUUAAGGUCGUUAAAUUUUCGUGAUAUAUAAAAAAGGAGAAAUAAAACUAAUUGGAGAGACAGUAAUCGGAAUCUUGAUGUGGUCAUCACAUGGGUCCCAAAGCGUUGAUCAAAAUAUGGAGAACUAAAAGCCAACGAUGGACCUCUGUAGAAGUGUGACAUUAAGCUAUCUAUAGGAAAUAUGUUCCACCAUACAAAAGUGAAAUAUAAGUCCAUUUUUAUUUUUCGAAAUGAAAAACAUUUUGCAUAUGUAAACAAAUACGCAGAUUUACAGUCGUGGACCGAUCGGUAGAAAGUGGGUAAUACAUAACGAGACCAUACAAUCAUAUAAGUAGGAAACAAAACAUUUAUAUUUGUUCUUUCAAAAUUAGGAUAUUGCUAAACUUAAGAUUUGUAUGAUUUUAUUCCUUCAGUGAUGUUUUAUCAAAUAGUUUUGACCCAAAAAUAAGCUUAAAUGUGAUCUGGCCCAACUUAUCGUUGAUUUGCAGGCAUUUCUUUAUUAUUAGUUGAGACAUAGCUUUCCAACAAACUCAUUUACGCAAUGGUAGAAUAUAAACUAUACAUUAUGUGUCUGUCUGCAGAAAAAAAAAACUAUUUGUAAAGUGCGUUAUGAUAAUCGAAGCAAACGUAGACAACAACAAAUUUAAACUACGAUUAGUGCAAAAACGAAAUUUCUAAAUAAAAAUAGAAGCCAUAGAGGGUUGGUUAGCGUGAAAAGUAAUUCAAACGGCUGAUUUCGUUUUGACAAAUAUCCUCUAGGAACGCUAUCAUGAUGUGGCUAUCUGAUUUUUUGAAAGAAUAAUUAAAUAGUUAAACCUAAAUUGUUAAAGUGGAGCAGUUGAUGUAUCAGUUAUUAAUAUUUAACCCUAAUACAAACCAAAAUAAAAGAGAGAAGGAAUGUCAUGUAUGUUCGUUGAACUUGACCACUUUUGAUGUUGCGUGAGAAUGGCAAACGCCAAAUGAAGUAGACCUUUUUGUUUUAUCGUUUAGCCGUUACAGAACGAUGACAAUUGAAACUAUUGGACGUGAUGUGCAAAAACAUGUGAAGAUGGGAUACGAUGAGAGCUCGGUAAUUUUGAAAAUAGUAUAUAGAUUUGUAAGCUUAAAAAUGGAGCACUUUUAUAAGUAGAUUUUUGCAAUGUACAAAAAAAUCAUUAAAUGUUAAUUAGAGCAUCUCCAAAAAAAUUCUCUAUUUUAAUGUUUUAUAACUCUAUAAUCGAAAUUUCAAGGUGUUUUUCUCCUAAUCAAAACUUCAUACUUAACUUCAAAAUUAUUUGUAUUUUACACUAUGAUCUUUAAAUUUAUCAUACUAAUGUAAAUCCAUAAAAAAUUAUAAAUAACUAGCACAUAUAUAAGAAUAUUACAGAAAUAUCAAUUAAUAAAAUCUUACACUAAAAUAUAAAAUUAUAAAUCAAAAUACAAUUAAAUAUUAAAUCUCCAAGCAAAAUACCAUAUUAUUUCAUAAAAUUAUUUUCGUAAUGUUCUAUUUUCGGUUACAAAAACAUUGUUUGGACAAUAUUUUGGAGAUUUUGGAGGUUCCAGAGUAAAUUUACAAGAUUAUUGGUGAUUAUUGGUGUUGUUGUAAUAUUUGAAUUUAUGCAAUAAUUAUGUCUUCAUGUAUCUUUUUUUAAAAAAAAAUUAGUAAGUUUUUUUGUAAUAUUCUUAUUGUCUAAUUAUAGUUUUAAAAUAUUGUAAAACUAGUGUCUAAUUAUAUUUAUUAGAUAUAGUGUAAUCAAGUAUACUCUAUAACUUUGUUUUGAAUUGUAUAGAUUUAAUAACCAAAUUAAAAAAUGUUUUCCUAAUUUUCACUUUAGUUAAACACAAACUAUAUUAUGAAAUAAAGUGAAUAGUAACGAACAAAAUUAGUUAUUUAUACAAACAAUUCCCUCAAAGAAAAAAAAUUAUUUUUUUUAAGAAGAAAGAAAAAAAAAUUAGUUUAGAUUGAAAAUUUGAGAAAUCUGAAUUUUACUUUGGAAACCCUCCAAUCCUCGAAUAAAUUAACACCAUGCCUCAAAGUCAAAGAAACACACAUUCUUAACUACAACGUACAUAAAUUGUCCAGCUCCUCACUUGACAGCAUCAACUCUGUAGUCUAUUUAGGUUAAGAAAAAAAAAACUCAAGCGAAAUGAUAUUUACUAGUAUUUAGAAUUUGCUGGAACCAAAAUUCUCCAGCGGUAAUCGAAUGUGGAAACAUUACAAAGUGAAUAAGAAAAAUCCACAAUACCCCUCUCUCUUUUUCUUAUCAUGUUCCUUUUCUCUCGAUACCAUUUUUUCUCUGUUUUUCCUUUUUUUGUUUAUUGAAAAAAAAAACAGAAGAAAGCGGGCGAAAUCUCCGCCUCAUCUCUCCAUUUCGCUUUAAAAACGGCUAGAAACUGUGCUCCAAUCAACCCCACGGCGGUGAAUGAAACAAAAGAAACUAUCAUCGGAUUCACUUGUUUUAUAUUAGAUAUAUCUACAAAUAGGUUUUGGAAGAUGCUAGUAGUCGAUGAUUGGUUCUCCGAUGGUGAGAUUUCUCUCCACUGUCCAUGGUAAGUCGAAGAGCUUCGCGGUCACAAACUUGAAGAUCUUAUUUACGUUUAUGUUGUAAGAAGCACUCGAGAAGAAGAGAGUCGCGUUUAGCGCCUUGGCAUAGGUUCUCGCCUGGCUAGCAAUAGUCCAUUGCAGAUCGAUAGGGAGCUGAAUAAACUCAUCAAACUUUGUUCCUACCAUAACUGGAAUCGCGGUCUGCAUAGAAAACAUAAAGUGUUUUAUUAAGGAGAGACCGAAGCUGCCGUAUGCAUAAAGACAUUGUUAUAUAUAGAGAGAGAUCAAACUGAGAAUGUUAUUAGUGUUGUCUUAGAAUCCCACCUGAUUAGACCUUCUAGCUUGUUGAUACCAGCUAAUCACACUGCAUAAUCAUAAAAAUAAGAAGAAGCUUUAGCUUUUAAUUAAUCAAAAGUUACAUGUUGAUAAGGCUGAACAGUAAUUGUAGUACUUGUUAAGUGUGCAACGACUGGUGAGAUCGAACAUGAAGAGAAUGGCUACAGAGUCCUUGCAAGCCAUGGGGACUAGAUCCCGUGAUUUCUCAGCUCCUGUUUGAUUAACAUUCUAGUUAACCUCCAAUGAUUGCAAUGGAUUUAACAUUUAAUUGGUUGUUAAGAAGAAGAAAGAAGAUUAACCUUGUAACUCCCAGAUACUGUAGGAAAUACGAGCUCCUCCCAUGGAUAACGUCUUGUCCGUACAAUGGAUCCCUUUCUCCAAUUCUCUCAUUUCAACUUGUUUCUCUCCACCAACAUACUUCGCCUUCACAAUCAAAAUCAACCAAUUCAAAUAAUCAAUAUUAUUGUUUGUUUUCUUAAAUUUUAAUGUAUGUAAGUUAAUCAUUUUAGCUAUUAAUUUUUUUAAAUUUUGUGAUUUGCUAGUGAUCAAUGCAAAAAUGCAGCAACAUGUAAACAAACAUGACCAAUUAACCAUAAAUUUAAAAACCAGUAAUGACGUAGAGAGAUCGAAUGUGUAUAUGUAAAACUAACUAACCAGGAAGCAAGUUUUUCCGAUCUCGGGAUCUCCUAAGAGGCUUAUUUUUAGAGAAACCAGAUCAGAGUCCGAUCUCCGGUUGCUGCCAUCGUGGUUAUGUACCGAUGUGCGGCGUGCGACCUCACCUUCAACGGCGGGGACCGGAGGAGGGAGAGAACGAGAGACACUCGGAGACGGAGUGGCGGCGCGUGACAGCAAUAAAUAACUCUGUGAUUUACCGGGAGCGCAAGGGACGAUUCUGCUCAAGGGAAUGCGCGUGAAUCGACGGAGAAUCAAUACCCUACGGUUCACUAGGUUCCUGAGAUUGUUGGUUCGAGCGAUCUUGACGCAGGAUUGAGCCAUUUCGAUUGAUUAAGAGAAGAAGGGAAAAUAUAAAGUAGAAGGAAGAAGAAGAAGAUGCAGAAUCAGGAAGAUCUGGUGAUGGCCAGAGAGAAGCUGAUUGAUU